RNAcentral lists this ribosomal RNA (467 nucleotides) under uncultured bacterium. Its description in RNAcentral is "partial 16S ribosomal RNA". It matches the Rfam family "Bacterial small subunit ribosomal RNA", at positions 28 to 507 of the family's 1533-position model. The record is from RNAcentral.
GAUGAACGCUGGCUGCGUGCUUAGCACAUGCAAGUCGAACGGAAAGGCCCAAGCUUGCUUGGGUACUCGAGUGGCGAACGGGUGAGUAACACGUGGGUGAUCUGCCCUGCACUUCGGGAUAAGCCUGGGAAACUGGGUCUAAUACCGGAUAGGACCACUUCUUGGAUGUUGUGGUGGAAAGUUUUUUCGGUGUGGGAUGAGCUCGCGGCCUAUCAGCUUGUUGGUGGGGUAAUGGCCUACCAAGGCGUCGACGGGUAGCCGGCCUGAGAGGGUGUACGGCCACAUUGGGACUGAGAUACGGCCCAGACUCCUACGGGAGGCAGCAGUGGGGAAUAUUGCACAAUGGGCGCAAGCCUGAUGCAGCGACGCCGCGUGGGGGAUGACGGCCUUCGGGUUGUAAACUCCUUUCGCUAGGGACGAAGCGUUUUGUGACGGUACCUGGAGAAGAAGCACCGGCUAACUACGUG